Cucurbita moschata (crookneck pumpkin) is the source of this 1522-nucleotide long non-coding RNA. RefSeq lists it as uncharacterized. The record is from RefSeq and is a predicted model, not a curated record. Lineage: Eukaryota; Viridiplantae; Streptophyta; Magnoliopsida; Cucurbitales; Cucurbitaceae. The transcript has 2 exons.
AGUUAGGGUUCCAUCCCAGCAUUUUACAGCGGCAGCGAUGUUUGAUAGAUUUAGGGUUAAUUUAUCGUCUUUCUCCCCGGUCUCUUGAUCGUAGAGAUUGUGAAUUUCAUGGGACUGAAGUUUGGCUCUUUGGUCAAUUUCGUAUGCCGUAGAGAUGAAUGCAGUUCCCUAAAUCAUCUCUUUAACCUCUUCACCCAUUUUCGCUAAGGUUUUUUCUCCUUGUGAAUAUCUUUGUUGAGGCUGAUACAUUAUUUAUCAUUCUUCAAUUCACAUCUCUAUCUGAUUUGUCUCUGUAAUUCUAAAUUUUGAAUCGAUGUUAGAAGUACGAUUUUGUUCUAAAUGAUUGGAGUUUUGGUUCCGAGUAGUAAUUCAGGCAGCCUCUCUGCAAUUUCCAUGGCAAAGGAGGCGUUAAACUGCUCGUAAAUCGAAUCGCUUAUGCUCUUCAGACUUGCUGAGGUUUCCUCUGAAGCUCGUCUAGUAAGUUUAAGUACAUUUGUUUUCUGGACAUACGUUUAACGGAUUCUGAGUCGCUGUUCUUGCUUGAUUUCACAUUAUGCUUUUUCUUCAUAACCUAUGAUCAUUUAGCUGAGUACUGAGUACUGGUUGUUAAAUUAGAAUAUAUCUUGCAGACGCAGAUUAUUCAAUGACCUUCUAGUGUUGGAGGAACCAGUGGAUGGUGGAUUAAUCCGGAAUUUUGUUAGAGGAGCGACAGAGGUAGUCGAGUUACAUUCAAAAACACUUCUAAAAAAUUGAUUUGGUGCAUUAGUCUUCAUGAAAGUUUGAUUGUAGGACUUUCUAGACCUAGACCGACCUGGAUUUUGGUUCUCAAAAUUAUUCUAAAACUUCUUUAGAUUAUAGACCAAUAACGGUGGUUGAAUUCAAAAUGAACCAUGUCAGUACAUGUAAUUCAUGUGCACAUUGCCACAAAUGAUCUCAUAAUAUUUCAAAUAGAUUCAUACUUUGUAAAGUUGAAUCAACUGGUUGAUCUAAAUUUGGGUAAUCAAAUUGUUGAAUUGGAUGGUUAUGAACAAAAACUGAAUUGGUAUGUGAGCCAAAUUUUUGUAAAUCACAUUUUUUGUUUAUGCAAGUACACAUAGUGAUGAUGCCAGCAUGGAAAAUAAUUUGAAGCUGAAGAUGGAGAACGACCAUAUCUCAGCCUUUGUGUGGUGGUUUUUUUUGGGGCUUUUCUUUCCAGAAACAGGUUAUUGUAGUUAUGAGAUUAAGAUUUUAAGGUCAUUUCUUCCGUUUGCUCUACCUUUCUAAUUUUUGUAGCCUUUGCAUAGUUGCGAUGAUGUUAACAACUACCAAUGGUGUGUCUUGUUUGUGAAGGCUUUUCAAUUUCGAAAACAAGAACCUGACGAGACUGGUAUGAGCUCGCCCUUCUAAGGCCUUUAAUUUACUCUGUGGGGAGACCUAGAAUUUCGACAUGGUCGCUUGUGCUUUGAAGGCCUAUGAUUUACUCUGUGGGAGAAGAAAAUUCUGAGGGUUGAAUAUUUCAAUGAAUGAACUAAGAUCAACAAAA